AACGAACGCUGGCGGCAUGCCUAACACAUGCAAGUCGAACGAGAACUUCGGGUCUAGUGGCGCACGGGUGCGUAACGCGUGGGAACCUGCCCUUAGGUUCGGAAUAACUCCCCGAAAGGGGUGCUAAUACCGGAUAAUGUCUUCGGACCAAAGAUUUAUCGCCUUUGGAUGGGCCCGCGUUGGAUUAGCUAGUUGGUAGGGUAAAAGCCUACCAAGGCGACGAUCCAUAGCUGGUCUGAGAGGAUGAUCAGCCACACUGGGACUGAGACACGGCCCAGACUCCUACGGGAGGCAGCAGUGGGGAAUAUUGGACAAUGGGCGAAAGCCUGAUCCAGCAAUGCCGCGUGAGUGAUGAAAGCCUUAGGGUUGUAAAGCUCUUUUACCCGGGAUGAUAAUGACAGUACCGGGAGAAUAAGCUCCGGCUAACUCCGUG
This 433-nucleotide ribosomal RNA is filed under the name uncultured bacterium. Its description in RNAcentral is "partial 16S ribosomal RNA". It matches the Rfam family "Bacterial small subunit ribosomal RNA", at positions 29 to 507 of the family's 1533-position model. The record is from RNAcentral.